This 253-nucleotide ribosomal RNA is filed under the name uncultured bacterium. RNAcentral's name for it is "partial 16S ribosomal RNA". It matches the Rfam family "Bacterial small subunit ribosomal RNA", at positions 524 to 776 of the family's 1533-position model. The record is from RNAcentral.
UACGAAGGGGGCUAGCGUUGCUCGGAAUCACUGGGCGUAAAGGGCGCGUAGGCGGGUCUCUAAGUCGGGUGUGAAAACUCUGGGCUCAACCCAGAGCCUGCAUUCGAAACUGACGGGCUAGAGUUCUGGAGGGGAAAGCGGAAUUCCUGGUGUAGCAGUGAAAUGCGUAGAUAUCAGGAGGAACACCAGUGGCGAAGGCGGCUCACUGGACCGGUUCUGACGCUGAGGCGCGAAAGCGUGGGGAGCAAACGGG